RNAcentral lists this long non-coding RNA (18040 nucleotides) under Arabidopsis lyrata. RNAcentral's name for it is "long non-coding RNA (ALYR_LNC001132)". Lineage: Eukaryota; Viridiplantae; Streptophyta; Magnoliopsida; Brassicales; Brassicaceae. The record is from RNAcentral.
UUCCAUUCAACUUCUAGGUUUAUUAUCUGUGUUUUUUUCUUUCAACUCGGUCGAUAUUAAAGCUGACCACAGUUUCUUGAGUUCGGUUGUCAUCAGAUGAAAAACUAAUCAACACACAUCUUACUUUGUUUCGAGAAUGAAUAUUAGAUAUGGCAUUUUUUCACAGUUUAUCUGUUAAUAAGAUUUUAUUUGAUUGUGUAGACUACGUUCUUCCCAGGGAGAGUGGGUUUGGUGUGCCCAACACGCUUUUUCAAACAGCUUCUAACAAGAAGGUUAAUGUAUCUUCUGCCGGUUUAGCAAGAGCCAAGGCAUUGCUAGGACUAGAAGAAGAUGAUUUGAAUGGAUUUAACCAUGUGAACCAGUCGUCUUCUUCCCUCCAGCAACAUGGGUUGUCCGUUUUAAAAACUCAUGAGGAGUUUGACGCUACAGUGGUUAAGCAUCAUUCAGGAACUCCAGGACAAUAUGAGGAUUAUGUGUCUGGGAAGAGACCUGAAAUCUUAAAUCCAUCUUUAAAGGUGCCUCCAACAAAGUUUCAGACUGCUGGUGGAAAAUCAUUGUCAGUGUCAGCUGAGGCGUUGAAACGUGCCAGAAACCUUCUUGGUGAUCCUGAGUUAGGGUCUUUCUUUGAUGAUGUGGCUGGAGGUGAUCAAUUUGUUACACCACAGAAAGAUGAAAGGUUAGGUGAUAUUGCUAUAAACAAUGGAAGUGCCAACACAGGUUAUAUUGCUCAUGAAGAAAAGUCAAGCAACAAACAUACGUCAAAUAGUUUUGUAUCUCCUCUUCGGUCAUCUUCAAAGCAAUUUAGAUCAGUCAACUUGGAGAACCUAGCUUCAGGGGGUAAUUUGAUCAAGAAAUUUGAUGCAGCUGUUGAUGACACAGACUGUGCUCUGAAUAUCACUGAACUUGCUACACAUGGACUAUCAAAUAACAAGCCUAUAGCAUCUAAUAUGGCAGUGACUAAUUCCAAGGAAAACGGUUUCAUUCCAAGAGCUAGGCAAUUUGGAAGGCCAGCUGAUCAGCCGCUUGUCGAUAUAACAAAUUGCAGUGAUACAGCUUAUGCAAACAUUAAACAAGACAGUACCCAAAAGAAAAGGCUGGGAAAGACAGUCUCCGUCUCUCCUUUCAAAAGGCCAAGGAUUUCAUCCUUUAAAACUCCUUUAAAGAAAAAUGCUCAGCAAGCUUCAAGUGGUAAAAUAUUCAGGAUUUUUUUUUUUCAGGAACAUUUAUAUGAUUUUUAUGUUAAUCUGUCUGUUAUCAGGUUUGUCUGUUGUAUCGUGUGAUACACUUACUUCCAAAAAGGUGCUUUCUACAAGAUACCCAGAAAAGUCUCCAAGAGUAUAUAUCAAGGAUUUUUUUGGAAUGCAUCCAACAGCUACGACCAAGGUAAAAUCUUUUUGUCCCUUUCACAUUUUCCUGCGUUACAUAUACUUUUUUCUUCAUUCACUCAAACCACACUUACGAGGUGGUUUUAGAUGGAUUAUGUGCCAGACCAUGUCAGAAGAAUCAAAUCAAGUAAUGCAGAUAAAUAUGUAUUCUGUGAUGAGUCUUCUUCAAACAAGGUUGGAGCUGAAACUUUUCUUCUAAUGUUGGCUGAGUCUGGUGCUUCCUUACAACAUGCAUCCAGAAAGUAAUUUCUCUGCCCCUUGAAAUGUUUCAAGUUAACCGUGUUAUUUGUUUAUUAUAUCAGAAAAAAGUGUGUGACUGUUUUUUUUACUCUUGCAUGUGAUUGUCACUCUACUAGAUAGACAGUGAGUAAUGAUGUCUAUAUCUAUUAACUUAUCUAUCACUAUAUAUGCACUAGGUGGGUCACUAAUCACUACAGGUGGAUAGUCUGGAAACUUGCAUGCUACGACAUAUACUACCCAGCCAAAUGCAGAGGAAACUUUCUGACAAUCACCAAUGUUCUUGAGGAACUAAAAUACAGGUUUCCCAGUCUCACAACAAAGCUCGUUGUUAUUUAAACUCAUGCAAAGUCUAACAUGGUUAAUCUUUCUUAAUAGAUAUGAGAGAGAGGUCAAUCAUGGUCAUUGCUCCGCAAUCAAGAGGAUUCUGAGUGGUGAUGCUCCAGCUUCUUCAAUGAUGGUGCUCUGCAUAUCAGCUAUUAAUCCUAAGACCGAUAAUGAUUCUCAGGAAGCACAUUGUUCUGAUAUUUGCAGCAAUGUGAAAGUAGAACUCACUGAUGGGUGGUAUGAAAUUGCUAUUGCUGUUCUGUUACCUGUUUUCUUGUCUCCUUUCCAAAGGAUUUUUUUUUUUAAAAUCACAGGUACUCGAUGAAUGCUGCUCUGGAUGUCGUGCUAACAAAGCAGCUGAAUGCUGGCAAAUUGUUUGUCGGGCAGAAGCUUCGAGUAAGUUAUUUCAUGCAAGGUUUAUUUUGUUUUGCAACACAUGUUUUGGUUAGAUCACUGACUUACAGCAUGCUUACGUUCUUCUCUCUUAUCUGAAGAUCCUCGGGGCAGGACUUUCUGGCUGGGCUACCCCAACAUCACCACUUGAGGUUUCCUAGACUUUGAAUUUUAUAAGAUUUUCUGAAACCUUCUCAGGUUGGUUUCUUCAUACUUCAUAGUUUCAUUCAACCAAAACUUUCAGGCAGUGAUUUCAAGUACAAUCUGUUUGUUGUUGAAUAUUAAUGGGACAUACAGAGCUCACUGGGCAGACCAACUAGGCUUCUGUAAGUAGCUUUAUGCUGUGGACCUCACUACAUUAUCUGAGUUCUUAUUGCUUUCAUAUUGUUAUCUUUAUAUUGACCGUCUUUUAAUCUCUUCCUCAAGGUAAAGAAAUUGGUGUCCCUCUGGCUUUCAACUGUAUCAAGUGCAAUGGGGGUCCAGUGCCUAAAACGCUAGCUGGCAUCACACGAAUAUACCCCAUCCUAUACAAGGAAAGGUUAAUAUAAAUGUGUGCCUGUUAAUGCAACUUGGUCUUCUCUAUACUUCUGGCAAAGACAUAUUUUCUUGGUAUAUUACAGGUUAGGUGAAAAGAAGUCAAUAGUUCGAUCAGAGAGAAUGGAAAGUAGAAUUAUACAGCUGCAUAAUCAGAGGCAAGUUUCCUUACAACUGUAGAGAGCAAUUUUUAGUAACCUUUAUGUGAUCAAUUUAGCACAUGCAUCUCUUUCUAAGAAGUGUCAGAUUAACUCAUCAAAGCUAGAAACAUUUUGUUCCAUACAACAAUAUUAGGUUUCUAAGUAGUUAUUGGGACAGACAAACAAUCUUUGUAUAUAUUAGAAAAGCUUCUGGCCUUCUGAAUAUGGAUGGUUUUGCCAACAGAAGAGCCAAAGGUUGCAGUUCCUCAUGGUUUUAUUCUCAUUCGUACCUGCAUCUUUGUUUUUUGUUUUCCGUAGGCGCUCAGCUCUUGUUGAGGGUAUUAUGUGUGAGUACCAGAGAGGAAUUAAUGGUGUUCACAGCCAGAACGACACUGACAGCGAAGAAGGAGCCAAGGUCUUUAAGCUGUUAGAGACGGCUGCUGAACCUGAACUCCUAAUGGCAGAAAUGAGCCCAGAGCAGUUGACAUCUUUCACUAUAUAUAAAGCAAAAUUUGAGGUAGAAUAGUAAUUUCCUUUUCUUGAUAUAUUGAUUACACUAGUUAACUGCUUCAAUCUGAACCUCAGGCAGCCAAGCAAAUGCAGAUGGAAAAAUCAGUGGCAAAAGCACUGGAAGACGCUGGCUUAGGUGAAAGGAAUGUCACCCGAUUCAUGAGGAUUAGGCUUGUUGGCCUGACGAGUUUAAGUUAUGAAGGAGAGCACAAUCCAAAAGAAGGCAUUGUAACAAUCUGGGAUCCCACGGAGAGACAGGUACAUUCAAAUGCCUAAAUCUGAAUGUUUCAUGCACAAUCGUUACCAUCACUGUACUGUUGCAUUAUGAGCAUCAUCGAUUAGCUUGAGCAACCUGUAGAUUCUCAAAACAGUUAUCAUUGUCUACUACUGUGAUAGAGAACCGAGCUGACAGAGGGAAAAGUAUACAUAAUGAAAGGGCUGGUACCAAUGAACUCAGAUUCAGAAACACUUUACUUACAUGCCAGAGGAUCUAGCUCGAAAUGGCAGCCUUUGUCUCAGAAAGAUUCUGCAAAUUUUCAGUAAGUUGUUUCGUGGACUUUCUUUCGUAGACACACCGGAAUCUAUCUCAUUUAUUUGUUCAAUUUCCCUGGUGUUUUCAGGCCCUUUUUCAACCCACGUAAACCAAUCUCUUUGUCAAAUCUUGGUGAAAUUCCUGUUUCAAGGUUAAUCUCAGUCCAAGCUUUUUAUAAAACACUCUUUACCGCACUUACUUUGCUAAUCUAUGCAAUUAUGUCAUUCAGUGAAUUUGAUAUCGCUGCGUACGUUGUAUAUGUUGGAAAUGCAUACACGGAUGUUCAACAAAAGAAGCAGUGGGUGUUUGUGACAGAUGGAUCCACUCAACAUUCAGGGGAAAACUCAAACAGUCUUCUUGCUAUAAGCUUCAGCACCCCAUCCAUGGAAGAUAGCUCUAUUUCCCACAUCAGCCAUAAUUUGGUUGGAUCCGUGGUAUGUACAAAUUCUAAUCUUGUUUAGUUUUACACUGAGAGAAAAGAAAUUACUUUUUGAAAAAUGUUUGUGGGUCUUACUUAAUAUCUGGCAGGUCGGAUUCUGCAAUCUAAUUAAAAGAGCAAAGGAUGCGAAAAACAAAAUGUGGGUUGGUGAGGCAACAGAGAACUCAGUGUACUUCAUAAACGCAGAAGCUGCCUACUCUUCUCACCUCAAAACCAGCAGUGCCCAUAUCCAAGCAUGGGCUAAGCUCUCUUCUUCCAACACCGUUCGUACUCUUCGACUUCUUCUUUCUAUAAUUAUUUGGUUCAAAAAGAUUGGAUUAUUAUAUAAAACCUUCUUGUUUUGCUCAAUUUUCAGGUCAUCCAUGAACUUCGGCAAACAGUCCUAUCUAUAAUCGGUGCUUGUAAAUCACCUUCAUGCUGAAGAUACACCUCUUCUCUUAAUUUUUGUUCAUAAGCCUUAAGUUGUCUAACCCACCCUGCAGAAUGUAUCUAUUAAAGCCCAUUUUGCUACAUAAAUUUCGUACAAAUAAACAAUCUUUACAUUUUGCUAAAUUUGGCCUCCUGUCUAUAUUAGGAAAAGGAUGUAACAAAUAUGGAUCCGUCAGUACUUUGCUCAUUUAAUUUUAGGCGACAUCCCAGUAAAAAGAAAAGGUUUUAUUCAUUUCAUUUUCACAAAAACUGGAAAAGCAAUUGAUUCCAGACAUCAGGAACUCCAGGUACACACCAAUGAGUACAGUCAGAAUACAAUGCUGGGUUUUUCAACCGGUCUUCGUUUAGAGGUUCCCAGAAUUUCCGGUACACCGAUGGAUGACCAUCUUUUCGAUACUCAGACAACUGAGUGAUGUUUAUAACCGAAACCUUUGGUCCCAAUCUAUCCAAAACUCUCUUCACCAUCUUCAUUGUCGGAAUGUCCGACCCACUUCCCCAAUAACUCUCUUCCUCUAUCGGUUUCUUCUCCCCGUAGCAGUUUCCUUCGCUUCCCGGGUUCCAUUCUCGGCUCCUGACCGGUUUCAACAGCUCAGUUUUAAUGCGUAAAAAAAGAGAGUAAAAUCGAUCAUAUUGAUAGAGAGAACUGGGGAUAAGUAUUUUGUUACCAUUGAUGUGUAGGAGACAUUGUAACGAAGAAAACUCGCUUUGUGUUUGGAUCGACAUUGUUAGCAAUCCAAUCACCCCAAGUAUUCAUUGCCAUCUCCAUUCCCUCGGCGCCCUUCACCUCCUCGCAUGACCCUCUUUCUUCACUGCUCCAUCUUUAGUUUGAAUAUGCAAUGAGUACCAAUUGUUUCGUUUGGUUUUGCAGAUGUGAAGAAAACGAUGUCUAUAUAAUAUACUUACCGGAGCUUGACAGAGUCUUGUCUCCACCAUAAGUAUGUGUUGAAGAUUAGAAUAUCAGCAUAUUGCCACUUUGAUGCAUGCUUAAGAACAGAAUCGGGUCGGAUAAUGCGUUCGCCCAAUCUGUGAUUAACAGGGUCAUCAGAAUUCGAUUCCACGAGCAACGGUGCCCAGAGAAACUCCACCGUGGCAUUGUAGUCCUGCGGGGUACAUACACCAAAGUAACCAAUCGCACCAAAAAACAGAACAAAGAGUUGUCAAGGCAUAUAAACUGAAAUGUAUUUAUUACCUCAGCCCUGAAAAUGGUGAGGUGAGCGUUAGGAGACAUAGAUUGCUUCUCACGUGGAAUGACAGACUGUAAGAGACAAACCAUUGAAAUCCAUUGGCCUCUGUUUAGUGAGUCUCCAACAAACAUCAAUCUCUUUCCUCUCAGCUUCUCCCACAUUUCUGUCACAUUCCAUCUACCAGACAAAAUGGUAAACACCUAAAUCAUCAGUUUCGAUACAUUCUUUGCAAACAAUAGUAGCACCCAAAUUCAUAAACAAGCUAUUCAUCAAACCAACCUCUUCAAGUUGCAGGCAUGAGGUUGCCAUCUCCAAUGCUGAUACUCCAAAUCCUUCCUACCAUGCUUCUGACAAGCCAACUGGUCGGACAUGUAAGGGCACUGAGAUUCCUUGUGUAAAGGGUAUGAUGAAGAAUUAUCAAAGACCCAUUUCCCAGAGAAGACAUCACAUUUCUGGUCAUCCUUUGCUGUUAGACCCGGGUCUUCAAACGGGUCAACCCAUCCGAUUUUCUUCCCACUGUACUCUUUCGUCGAGUUGCAUUUGCUGAAUCUAUCCAAAACCUCUGCCAUUUGUUUUAAGUAACAAUUAGUAAGUUUCCAUAGAAGUAGCAACGAUUUGAGCAGAGAAAGUAGCACGAAUCACUUCAAAAUCGAAAAAUCAAAUCAGAAAAGUACCAAGAGCUCCCAAGUAGUAAUUCCCAGGAACAUUAGGCUUGACGAGAUUGGACGUCGAAGCUUCUCGGAGAUUUUGACUGUGACUGGCCGCGUGGUGGUGGAUCUGCUGAAUGCUACGCUCGUUGAAGAGAAUCAUAAAGGUGACGACGAGCAUAAAGAGGAGACCCGCUAAUGGAAGCCGACUCUUUUUUCUGCUACAUCUCUGCGACAUCGGAGACUUGUUUCAAGAGAAAAUGUCACCAAGCACCAGAGUAAGAGGAAGAAGAACUCUUCUUCUUCUUCUUCUUCUUCUUCUUCUUCUUCAGUAGAGGCGAGAGAGAGAGAGAGCAGAGAUUAAUACUAUUUCAAUUUGUUUUUUUUUCUUAAAUAUAAUUUUUGUAAUUUGACUUUUGACGUUUAUUUACCAGAUCCCAUCUUUCUUCCUCUUUGGCUCUAUUGAAUCCGUCGAGCUGUCUUUAUCUUUUUAUUUUAAAGAAUAAAAAUCCUUUUGUUUCUUUCUAUUAAAGAAUAAUGGGUAAAUUGCAUGUUAUGGCAGUUGACCAAGUUUUAAUUUCAUGUUUUGGCAAAGUGAGAAUGGGCUUUCAAGUUUUGACAAUUUAGCCAAAAUCUAACCAUUUUACCCCUGCCAGCGUACCGAUGUACUGUUCACUGUACGGUUCAGUUAUGCGGUUCAGUUAUGUAUACUGUUCCGGUUUAGUUAUGCAGUUCAGUUAUGCAGUUCAGUUAUGCGAUGUACUGUUCACUGUACGGUUCAGUUACGUACACUGUACACGGUUCAGUUAUGCGGUUCAGUUAUGCGAUUGACUGUUCACAAUUUUCUUAUAAUCUUUUGUUUUUUUACAUUUAAUUUAUUUAUUGAUUUUGUAAAUCUAGUUUAUAUUAGCAUAUUUUGAAGUCGAAAAACUAAAAUACAAACUCUAUAAAUAUUACGUACACCGUCUCCACAAUAGUACAUGAUAUAACUGAAGUACAUAUCCAUUUUAUAAUCAAUACUGUGUAUACCGUAAACUACAUACACGUAAAUAGAAAAAACUCAAAUAAGGACAUAUUUCUACCAAAAAUAUCUUACUAAUUUCAUACAAGUUUUCUACGAAAUCAAUUAAAAAAAUAUUAAUAAUUUGUUUUCAGUAAAUAAUUGAAAUCAACUAUGAUCAACACACAAAUUGACUCUAAUGAGACUCACAAAACUCCAGCUCUGUUACGCAAUUUACAUAAUCAUAUGUCAAAUACGAGAAGCAGUAGAAACAAACCUCACAACUAAAGAAAAACAUUGAGGAAGAGUAUGUUUUAACGUGACACAGAGCCGUGUGUGGUUUGAAAAUCUUAAACACUUGUCAGUAGAUGAUUCGCUUUUCCAUUUUAUAAAUAUUUAUUGUUUUUAUAUUUUUAGUUAAAAUUCUUUUUUUUUCUAUCAGACCCAUUUUCAUAUUUUUAUUUCUAUUUUAAAUAAUAUUUUAUUUAUUAUUAUCGAAGACUAUUCACGAUUAGCAAUAUCAUAUACACAUAUGUGCGUAACGGUAAUAAUAUAUACGUACACGGUAAUAAUGUGUACGUACACGGUAGUAAUGUGUGUGUAUAUAUGUACGUAAAUAUCUAAAUAAUUUGUAUAUUUACGUUUCAAAUAUUUUUUGACUAUAAAAACAAAACAUUCAAAUCAUGUAUGAACAACAUAUGAAAAAAAUACAGUCAUACAAAUAACUGACAUAAUAACUUAAUUUUGAUGUCAAAAAAUUAAAUUAAUGUUGUACCAUGUACGCUCCAAUAAAUAUUUUUGUGUACGUACAUAGUAUAAGACUUAUGUGAUUUAGGCAUUUUUAGGAUGUAACUGUUUGGAGAGAUCGUAUGAUGCGGACAUCAAACAUGUUGAUGGACUAGCUGAGCUAUUUGCUGAAGGAGUUGUAAGAGAUAAACAUAAUCCAUCAAACAAACAAAUUAUUCUGAAUGAAUGUGAUGCUGGAGAAGUUUUGAUCUUCUUGAUUUACAAAGUUUGGAGCCAAGACAAGCAUUGAUCUUGUAAGUAAUGAAAUUGGUUAAGAAGUUUUUUGUUAUAACACACUAGGGUCUUGAUUGUGUUCGAAAUCAACAUUGUUUUUAUAUAAAAACCCAGAAUAUUUUUAUUUCCAAUUUUUUUAGUUGAAAAUGCUGAAUGAGGAUAGAUUUAUGUAUAUAAGUGUGUAGUUGGGAAUUCUUUUUGUUUUUUGUAGAUAUAAUCAUGCUUUCAUUUGCAUUUAAUGGGGUUCUGCUGAAUUUAUGAUGCAAGUAGGUAAUGGAUAUUCCCGUAUUUACUAUGGUGGGUGAGUGGAGAUGCAAAGAAGAAGAAUGAAAAUUUGAACCAUGGGAAGGCUGGUUUGGUCGUUGUGUACGUGUUAAGGAAAACAUGACGUACACGGAAUUUGUACUUACAUUAUGCGAGGUUUUCAGUUUGAAGUCCACCGAACGCAAUCCAAUAAUUAGUUACUGGAUGCCGGGAAAGAUGUCAGUGAUGAUAGAAAGUAAACGUCCUCCUGUCUACAUUGACAAUCAAAUGAGCCUGGAUACCUUCUUUUUGAUUCGUGGUGGGGAUCCUAGUGUCACCUUGUUUGUCUCUUUCAUUACAACCGUCAAGAAACUCGGGAAUACUGUCCCUAGGACCGAUGGUGACGAUGGUGAGAGUUACCGUGUGUGUGGGAGUGCAAUGACACCAAAUCCCAUCGUAGCGGCUUCAAAUGUAGAUGGAAAUAAUGAGGCCGUAGAUGAGCAAGACGACAUUGAAGACGAUAAAACAGAUGAGGAUGAAGAAGAUGAGGAGGAGGAUGAAGAUUACGAUUUCAACAAGUGGAAUGAUUUGAUUGUAGAAGAAUAUGGAGUUGGCCAUGUUGAGGAGGACGUCUGUGACAUUCCACCGACUGGAACCGGCAGAGGAAUACAGUCGUAUAUUGGCAGAGUGUACGACCACAAGUCAACGUGUACGUACAUGAGAAACCAGUGCGAAUUUGGGUGACACUCAGCUAACUAUGAAUUCAACCCGGACAUGUCAACAUGGAUUGCUCCAAUGUACGUACACUAGAGAAUGUGUACGAGACACAUGAUGCGAAGGUAAAUUUGUUACGUAUACGGUAGUGGUAGUGCCGAAGACUACAUUACAACGAGUGGACUGAUUUUGGUGUUGAGAAAUAUGGGAUAAGACAUGUCAGAAAUGUUGAUGACACUCAACUUACUAUGAGGCUAACAUGAAAAAUUCAAUUGAUUAUUAGAAAUGUGUACGUAUACUAAUUAACAUGUACGUAAUUGAUAAAAUGUCGAUCAUUUUGGAAAAAUGAUGACAUUCAACCAUUUGUGAGUCAUAACCAGGAGGUAAGACAUGAUUUUUGGAAGAAUGUACGUACAUUACUAACUAUGUACACGAGAAAGUAUCUGACGGUAAAUGUUUGACGUACACAAAUGCAAAUUGGCAUGAUAUAUGUAAAGUGAAUGGUAAUUGUGUGGAUUUUGCUCUAGUCUUCGAUGAUUUAGUAAAUGCCCGAGUUGAUGAGACAAAAAUAUAAAUUAGUACGACAAGAGAGACAUUGUAUGUUGGGAGUGUAUUUAGAAAAAAAAAAUCAAAUAACAAUGGCAUCAUAUCUAGUAGGAGCGUCAUAGAAUACAUCCCCGCCAUCGCCAAUAUUGGUUUAUUAUUUUAUCAAUAAAUUUAUCUUAACAAAUCUAAUUUAUCGACAAAGGUGUAUGUUCAUUAUUACACGUGUACGUACAUAAGUUUUUCAGAAAUAUGAAGAACAAAUAUUUUUUGACUAUAUAUUUUUUUAAUUAUUAUAUAUGCAUGUAUUUUAUUGAGAUAUAUGAAGAAGUAACAAAAUGGCUUAAUUUUGGAGUCAAAUCCUAUAAUUUUUAAUUUUUUUUGAAGAGGGUGGUUAGAGAUUUAUUACAACCACUUUAAUAUUAUACGGAAAAACGGUCUAUUUCCCCACGAAAAGUAUCACAUCACGACAGAUAGAGCCCAAUCUAUGACCACGUGCUAGAUAUCCCCGAAAUAAUAGUUUUCAACCUAUAAUCCCCCAAAUUCAUAGUUCGAAAGCUAUUUUUCCAUAAAUCUGGAUUUAAUCGGUUUAUGAACUAAACCGAUAUAAAACCACUUAAACCCGAUAUGAAACCAAAUUUAAAACCCAAUUGACAUUUUAAACCCGACCCGAUCUAAAUCCCCAAAUUUUCUUAAAAAUCCCCAAAUUCUCAAAUCUAAGAACCCUAAAAUCUCCCAUGUUCAUCAUCGUUCUUGCUCCUCCUUCCAUACACAAUUCGAAUGUUCAAACUUGUGUCUAGUGUACAGUGAAACGAUGAAGCUUCUCAAAAAAACAUACAAAGAAAGAGGUGAAGAAAUUCAUUUUAUGAAGAUUUUGAUCUAAGAAAGUGUAAAAUCAAUCAAAUUUCACAUUGAAAUUAAAACACGUCCUGCAAUUUCGGUGUCCUACUACCAAAACCAACAACAACAGUAUCUUUGAUACAGAAGGAAACAUUUGGAACCAACAACUGUCCAAUUGUCUUCUUCUUCUUCCUCUUCUUCUUCUUCCUCUUCUUCUUAACCAUGGAGUCGGGUAAAGUUCAAUUAAUGCAUUGGAGAAACUGAUAGUUGUGAUCCCAUAGAUAGACAUAGAGAUAUAAAAAAAAUAGUUUUAAUAUUUAAUCGUUUGAUGAUUUGAUUUGGAAUUAGAUAAAAGCAACAUAACAAGAAGAAAACGAAGAAAUACAGUAGGUGGGUGAGAGAGAACGUUGGGUUGGGUGUUUUUCUUGGGUCGGGCAAUUAGUUGUAAUUGGGUUGUAAUUGGUUUAGCUUAGGUUUAAUCCGGUUAAAUAUCUUUGUUAGUUGGUUAAGAAAACAGUAAACCGAGUAAAAUCAAAAUUUAUGGAUAAUUAGAUGAAAACUAUUAUUUUGGAGAGAUAUAGAUUUCGAACUAUGGAUUCGGGGGGUUAUAGAUUGAAAACUAUUAUUUCGGGGAUAUCUAGCACGUAGUCAUAGAUUGGGCUCUAUCUGUCGUGAUGUGAUACUUCUCGUGGGGAAAUAGACCGUUUUCCCAUAUUAUACCAUAUACGUUCCACUAAGAAACUUUCGUGUACGUACACCGUAAAUUGCAUAUACGUACAGAGAAGAAAUUCUAUAAAGGGUAUAACUGUAAUUUUUCAGUCAUCUUCAACCUGAGUAUAUUUUUCUGCAACCCUAAUUUUUUUGCCAUCGUUAACAGUUAUCUCAUAAUCUUGUUUUCUUUACGUUUUGAAUGUUUUUUUACUUAUAAAUCUUGUAAAUCUAGCAUAUUUUAAGUUUGAAAAGGUAAAGUUGAGUCUCCGGAAAUUUGUUGCAUUUGGCUCGUCGCCGGAAAUAUGAAAUUUAUUUCCACCUCCUCGACUCAAAAACUCUGAAUCGAAGAUGAAUGAGAGACUAUUCAGAUCUUAAGAAAACGAUUAUCACUGAGAUUUUUGAAGAUGAAAAAGUUGAGAUUUUUGAAUUCUUUUACUUUCUGUUUCUUUCAAUAAUUUUUUUUUCUCACUUAUAAUGAAACAAAAAAAAAAGAAGUACAAACGUAACUAAAUGAUAAUAGUUUAUGGUUAGGGGCAUUUUGGUCCGAAAAAACACAAAUUGUUAAAUGGUGAAAGCCCAACUUGACUUUGUCAAAUGGUGAAAGAAAAAUUCAAUUCCUUACUAAACGUGAAAAUAACUUAAGAAUAAUUACCUCUUUAAAUGUACAUCAAAAUGCUUAUCAUCUCAUGCUUUUUUUUUGGUGUAAGUAUCAAAUUCAUUUUGAGCAUCUCAGAGAACAGAAAUUACCAACACACAAAAAAAAAAAAUUACGUCCAAAUCAUCGAUCGAGCACACGAAUAGUUAUUUAUACAAUUGAGAAAGAAAAAAACAAAGUAGAAUUGCUCCGACCGUAUUGAAGUUAUCAUCAGAUUCAUGAAUAAGUUAAAUGGACACUCACAGUAGGCUUUGAAUCGAAACCAAAACGUAAACGAAAAAAUCAUCAAACUUUGGAAGAAUUAUAAUUAAUGGGAUACCCAUUAGCCAGCCAGGAAGGAGUUAGUUUAGAAUUUAUCGACUCGGAGGCCAUUUCUUUGAACCUCAUAAGCAUCUCUGCUUCUGCUCUUCUUCAUUCCUGCAGUGAAGUAGACCUUUGAUGCAUCUGCAGAUAUGCUUGUCACUUUUACCCAUAUCAUUACUUUUGUCUUGAUUCCUUCCACAUCUGUUAGCUUUCCUUUCUCAACAUGUCCUGUUACGGUUGUUGUGAAUUUCAAGACUGAUGAAUCCUUGUAUCCAACUUCGCAUAUCGAUGGGAUCAAAACGGUUAGUUUCUUUGUCUCUUCAUCGAACUCAUAGUUUGUAGCAUCCCCCGGGAAGAUUCCCACAGGCAAAUCAUACUCUUUUAGUAACUCAGGCAACGGCUUCUGCAUUUUCCCUGCCAAGAAGACAAAAAUUAAUGGAUGGAAUGUCAAAAAAAGAAGUUGAAAUUAAGAUGCAGUUGAAGAAGAAGAAUCAAAAAGCAAACCUUUGAUCUUGUUGACCAACCAUUUUGUUCCUCCUUCAAUGCUCGUUGACACCGACUGCCAAAAACAAAACAAUGUUAAUAAGAAUGUUCAUGAUCACACGGUUCAAACAAAAUCAUCUAACUAACUGUUGAAUGUAAUAAUGGCAAUGAGAAAUAAAAUCAUCAAAUCAUCAUUGUUUUGGUUCUUCCUUAUGUGUUGUGAUUUACCUACGAAUGACCUCAAACAUGGUACAACUGCAGGAUAUAUACAAGAAUUACGAUAGAGGACGUUGAUUACAUCGGAAUGAAAAACACACAAUCACAUGAAGGAACCAGAUUGCUUGAGUCAAAAUCGAUCAGGAUAACAGAUGAAUCAGAUUCUAUAGAAUGUGUCAAAAAAGACGUACGUUGAGAUCGUUGCCGACGGAGUCAAAUUGCUUGUUGGCCUUCUGGCCUAACCAGUAGGAUCCAACCUUGUUGAAGAUCUGAUCCAUUCUCUCUCUCUCUCUCUCUCUCUCUCUCUCUCUCAGAUUUUCAAAUCAACAGAGAGGAAGAAAGAAGGACAAGAUUUUGAGAAAACGAACGAGACGACUUUCUUCUUCCUUUGUUUUUCUCUCUCUCUCUCACCGUUGGGUUCGUUAUUUGUGCACUAUUCCUACAGCCAAUUGACAUAUGACAUGUGGCAAAUACAUAAACAGCACAUAUUUAUUGAAGCAAGCAGUAGUAUAUUAUAUUGUACAAACAAAAACAAGUAUUUGCCUAUCACUCCUCCUUGGGACUAUAUAUUUUUGUUUUUUUUUUUAAUACAGAUUUAAAUGGCUACAACACAACUUGGAAACUGAAGAACCACAUGGCACAAAACAGAGUAAAAUUAAAGACUACAAUCAAUCCUUUUUUUUUUUUCCCCCAUAAACAAUAUUUCCUCCCAUGAUUUUACUUGUCUAUUCUUUCCAAAAAACAAAAAGUAGAAAAUCAAUUAUUGAAAAUAAUUUUUUUAUUAUAUUUCUGUGUGAAAUGAGGUUUAAACUAACAUCAACUAAAUUUAUAAUUACUGUUGAAAAUAUUAUUAAGCUCUAAAACACUUUAUAGCCUACCCUUGUCUUUGUGCAUUCCAGAGUCAUACGAAUCGAUUCAAAUCAAGCCAAGAAAAUUAAAAGAGAAAAAAACAAGCCUAACUACACCUCCCUUAUUUAAAGCUUAAUUUUUGUCCUGGCCAACAUUAAAGCUUUGAUAAGCUUGAUAUUUUUUAUCUUGGGCCGUGACAUUAGUAAUGAGGCCCACAAUGUACUUACUCCGACGUGUAAUUGUCUCCGAUAAAGACAAGGAACCAUUUGGAACCUCUCACGCGCUUUAGUUGGAAAUUACGUAGAGUUGAGCUACUCACGACUCUAACCUAUCUGUUUCCCGUCUCCAUCAAAUAUCCUAGAGAGCCACGAAUUUUUCUUUCUUCUUUGUAAAUUCUGAAUAUUAAGCCACAUACACGGUGUUCAAAAAAAAAAAAAGCCACAUACACAUUAGACGAAAAGUCUAUAAGGGUUUGCACCAUUCUCAACAAUCUUAUUUGCUAGUAGUAGCUUUGGUGAUUUUUUUAAAACAUGUAAAUAUUUUUAUCUCUAUCCUAAAAUUUCCUAUGUCAAAAUAUGCGUCACAGGAUUUUACACGUCUAACUUAUGUUGUAAACGCUAUCUAUCAUCUCUUUUUUUUUUUUAUAAUAAACAAUUUGUAUUUGUUAUCAUCUAUCUACAACUCUAAAAAAGAUAUUUAAAAAGAAUAGGAGAGAGCGAGUAGGAAAAAGGAAAGUGGCAACGCGAGAGUAGGAAGCGGAAAUGGUAAAAAGAUUCUGAGGAUAAAAGAGAAAGCAGAGAAACAGACAAACUUUAUUUGGAGAGAUGUUAACGUGGAUCGAAUAUCCUCACGUUCACACUAUCCCCAUUGGACCUAGCACGAGGCCUCCACACGCCCCCUACAUCUGGCCUUAUCUCCACCCUCCACGUGGAUCUUCAUCCAACGGUGACCACACGCCUUUUCCCUCUUAUAUAAUAAACCCUUCCUCUCUUCUUAUCAUCACCACCUUCUUACAACAACAAAUCUCAGGCGGCUCAACCCUAAAACUCCCCUCCCAAAACUACAUUUUCCUACGAUGGCCUCGAAGGCACUCUCUUCCUUCACCGCUAAUCCCGCUCUGUCUCCCAAGCCACUACUCCCUCACGGCGCCGCUUCUCCGUCUGUUUCUCUUGGCUUCUCCAGGAAAACUGGCGGCGGCAGAACAGUGGUCGUCGUUUCUGCGGCUACCGUGGACACAAACAACAUGCCGAUGACCGGAGUCGUGUUCCAGCCUUUCGAAGAGGUGAAGAAAGCCGAUCUGGCCAUUCCAAUCACAUCUCAUGCCUCCCUCGCUCGCCAGAGGUAUGCCGACGCUAGCGAGGCAGUCAUUAAUGAGCAAAUCAAGUAAGCAUCAAAGCCUUCUCUUUUAUUUUCUGCUCUGCAAAAACGAAAAUGUUUAAAGAUUAGAUCUAACGUUGGUUGAUUUUUAUUCACAGUGUGGAAUACAACGUCUCCUAUGUGUACCAUUCAAUGUACGCAUACUUUGACAGAGACAACGUUGCUCUUAAGGGACUAGCCAAGUAAUUUCUCUUCUAACUUUAAUCUUAAUCAUAUUAAAUCUUGAUCAUAUGUCCAUGCUAAACAUGGGUUUUUUAUAAUCACCAGAUUUUUCAAGGAAUCAAGUGAGGAAGAGAGAGGGCAUGCUGAGAAGUUCAUGGAGUACCAGGUUUUCUAUGUUUACCUUCUUUUCUCUUUUACUAUUUACCAAGUAAUUUUUAAAGGAAAGUUUUAGAAGUUGAAAAAGAUUUGUGAUUUGAGUUAAUUUUCCUAUUGUUGGUUUGUGUGUGUAUACAGAACCAAAGAGGAGGAAGAGUGAAACUCCACCCAAUCGUCGCACCUGUCUCGGAAUUCGAACAUGCUGAAAAAGGAGAUGCAUUAUAUGGUAAAGUUUAAUCAAAUACACUAUAUCUUAAUCCUAAAAUAACUUCUUCCUUUUUAAAAGAUACAGAUAUUUAUUAGUUUAUUACUAAUCUUUGUUUCAGCAAUGGAGUUGGCUCUGUCUCUAGAGAAACUCACUAAUGAGAAGCUACUAAACGUUCACAGAGUAAGUCCCCUCCAUAAUCCAUUUAGUCAUCAAAUAUUAAACUAAUAGUCAUUUUCCUAACCUUAAGUAACAUACACUUUCUGCCAACAAAAUCAGGUGGCCUCAGAGAACAAUGAUCCCCAGUUAGCUGAUUUCGUUGAGACUGAAUUUCUGGGAGAGCAGGUAAAACUUCUUUUGCCUUGGUUCGGACUACAACUAGUGACUUGUAUAAUCUAUACAUGUUCUGACUCAGAAAAUUAUGGACUAUUUCUAGAUUGAAGCAAUCAAGAAGAUCUCAGACUACAUCACCCAGCUAAGGAUGGUUGGCAAAGGCCACGGUACAAAUCAAAACCCUAUAUUGAGACACUGUUCUAAGACUUGAAUGGAAUUUUUACAUUUUUUCUGUCUUUGCAGGAGUUUGGCAUUUCGACCAGAUGCUUCUGAACUAGACUGGACCUCUAUAAGUUCACUUUCAGAUGUCGACCAAUGUUGGGGUUCAAACAGAAGAACCCGAAGAUUCUCUAAAAGCUUUAGGUUGGAAGUUAUGGACUAAUAAGAUUGUAGUAGUAAGCUUUGUGUUCAAGAUGGUUUUUGUAAUAACUUAUUAAGCUUAAUCAAUGAAGUUUUUGUUUUACUAUAUUCUAACUAGCUAUGAAUGAGUCAAUGGCCAAACAAAGCGUAAGUAGUGAAAACUCAGACCUAUCUAAUUAAACAGAGCAUAUCUAUGAUCCAACUUGAAAGAGUAAGCAUAACGAACCUGUUUAUGAAGAACAUGUAAAAGAAGCAUGAAGUGUAUGUCACUUUCCACCGAGAAGGACAAGCUGGUCACUGGGAUAUAACUGAACAGCAAACAAGAACAAGAUCACUGUCACAUCAAAGCAAAAGAGAUGCUCUUACUUUGAUUCCAUGUUGACAAAUGGAAAAUCUUUUAUAACCAAACAAAGACCUCUCUGUACUACAAAGAGCUGACAAAUGUACGAAAAUGGGUAUCCAUAAAAAGUUCAUGACGUAAGAAAACACCACUAACUAGGCUUUCAUGUAGAGACUCUCCCUUAGUGCUUUUAUCUUUUCAUCAUGGUUCUUCAAACCACUAAGCAUUAAGAAAAGAUUGAGAAUCUUAUUUAUAUAAUGACGAAAAAGUUGAGCUUCUUCAAGUGGAAACUUAAACGAUGCCUUAAUGUAAGAAGUCCGUCUCACGGGAACAAGCAAAAUUGGAAGCUUUUAUGACCCUAAGAAUAACACUUAGUUAUCACAGUAAUGCUCUAAUCAAAAGCAAGGAAAUGUCAAAUAAUCCCAAAUCAUAGCAUCAUGCAUCUAAUCUAGAGAAAUACGAAAUUCUAAUAAGAUAAUGCAACGAAUUUGGAAUCCAUAAACAACAAGCCUCAAAAUAGCUCAGACUCCAGCUAAAACCCUAGCAGGGAACAGAAGUGGAAAUCGACACCGCAAGUGCUUAGAAUUGGACAAGGACAAUGAAAUUAGGAGAGACGGAAAGAAAAACUGACAUAAUUGUGAGAUAGUCAUCGAGAAAUUAAUCAAUGAGCUAACGGGGACUCUGGCGAUGCCGAUUAGUUCACUCUGAGAAGACAGAGAUCACUACUCCCAAUCUUGUCGCCAAGGGCACCAAUCGAGUGUCGCCACCUUAAC